UGACCACUCCAUUUGGAGUCGAGGCCAUACGGACAGCCGGGUCAAAUGCCGA
This 52-nucleotide small RNA is filed under the name Ruminococcus flavefaciens. Its description in RNAcentral is "Streptococcus sRNA SpF59 (ldcC RNA)". It matches the Rfam family "Streptococcus sRNA SpF59 (ldcC RNA)". Lineage: Bacteria; Bacillati; Bacillota; Clostridia; Eubacteriales; Oscillospiraceae. The record is from RNAcentral. RNAcentral also lists the same sequence under 1 other name.